Molecule: non-coding RNA, 30 nt
Filed under: Mus musculus (house mouse)
Lineage: Eukaryota; Metazoa; Chordata; Mammalia; Rodentia; Muridae
Source: RNAcentral
UAGGCUUCUCACCUAAGUAAACCCAUUAAG